GGCGGACGGGUGAGUAACACGUGGAUAACCUACCUAUAAGACUGGGAUAACUUCGGGAAACCGGAGCUAAUACCGGAUAAUAUUUUGAACCGCAUGGUUCAAAAGUGAAAGACGGUCUUGCUGUCACUUAUAGAUGGAUCCGCGCUGCAUUAGCUAGUUGGUAAGGUAACGGCUUACCAAGGCAACGAUGCAUAGCCGACCUGAGAGGGUGAUCGGCCACACUGGAACUGAGACACGGUCCAG
RNAcentral lists this ribosomal RNA (243 nucleotides) under uncultured Staphylococcus sp. RNAcentral describes it as "partial 16S ribosomal RNA". It matches the Rfam family "Bacterial small subunit ribosomal RNA", at positions 97 to 334 of the family's 1533-position model. Lineage: Bacteria; Bacillati; Bacillota; Bacilli; Caryophanales; Staphylococcaceae. The record is from RNAcentral.